RNAcentral lists this ribosomal RNA (582 nucleotides) under Idiomarina sp. FenBw--71. RNAcentral's name for it is "partial 23S ribosomal RNA". It matches the Rfam family "Bacterial large subunit ribosomal RNA", at positions 1 to 627 of the family's 2925-position model. The record is from RNAcentral. Lineage: Bacteria; Pseudomonadati; Pseudomonadota; Gammaproteobacteria; Alteromonadales; Idiomarinaceae.
GUUGUAUGGUUAAGUGACUAAGCGUAGACGGUGGAUGCCUAGGCAGUUGGAGGCGAUGAAGGACGUACUAACUUGCGAUAAGCCAUGAUGAGGCAGUAAGAGCCGCUUGAGUCAUGGAUUUCCGAAUGGGGAAACCCAGUGUGCAUGCACACUAUCUUGCACUGAAUACAUAGGUGUAAGAAGCGAACCCGGAGAACUGAAACAUCUAAGUACCCGGAGGAAAAGAAAUCAACCGAGAUUUCCCUAGUAGCGGCGAGCGAACGGGAAUUAGCCCUUAAGCAAUCAUGGUUCUAGUGGAAUGAGUUGGAAAGCUCAACGAUACAGGGUGAUAGUCCCGUACACGAAGGAAGCAUGAAGGUGAAAACGAGUAGGUCGGGACACGUGUUAUCUUGACUGAAUAUGGGGGGACCAUCCUCCAAGGCUAAAUACUCCCAACUGACCGAUAGUGAACCAGUACCGUGAGGGAAAGGCGAAAAGAACCCCGGCGAGGGGAGUGAAAUAGAACCUGAAACCGUCUACGUACAAGCAGUAGGAGCACCUUCGUGGUGUGACUGCGUACCUUUUGUAUAAUGGGUCAGCGAC